This is a long non-coding RNA of Apodemus sylvaticus (European woodmouse), 643 nucleotides long. RefSeq lists it as uncharacterized. Lineage: Eukaryota; Metazoa; Chordata; Mammalia; Rodentia; Muridae. The transcript has 4 exons. The record is from RefSeq and is a predicted model, not a curated record.
CACACAGGCCUGGGUGCUGGGAGUGGGUGAGGGCCUGGGGUACCAACAGCAGAAGUUGCUGCUUUGGUUCUCAUUUCAAAACUGCUUGAGAACGAAGAUCAGAAAGAGAAUCACAGGGCAUAAUGAACUGAAAGGAAACAGGGACAUGAAAAUGCAGGAGACAUUGGUGGCCUGCUGGCAGCGAGGAGAGGAACUGUUUGCUCCAGUUAAUGUGGUGAAUUGUGAGGAUAGAUUUUUCCUGGUCAACUUGAGAGAAUCCAGAAUUACCCUGGAUCACCCUGGAAUUGCGUCUGUGGGCGGUAUUUCCAGAGAGGAUUAGAGGAAAACCAAUGAUGAGAAGAUUAAGAAGUGAUAGAUACCUUGAGGCUCUGAGCCCACCACUCUUACCACUCAGUUUGGAGUUCUUUCUACUGUGGUGUGUGGAACCUGUAAAACAGAAUGCAACAAAUACAUUCUUCUUUUGUUGUUGCCAUUGCUGGGUUUUGGUUGUUUGUUUGGUUGUUUUGCUUUUGGUUUUUUGAAACAAGCUUUCUUUUUGUGGUCCUGGCUAUACUGGAACUUACCCUGUAGCCUAGGCUCUCCUCGAAGUCAGAGAUGGCCUACCUCUGCCUCCCAAGUGCUGGAAAUAAAGGCUUGUGCCACC